UAAUACGUACUGUGCGAACGUUAUUCGGAAUUACUGGGCUUAAAGGGUGCGUAGGCGGCUGAUCAAGUCAGGUGUGAAAGUCCUCGGCUCAACCGAGGAAUUGCGCUUGAAACUGGUCAGCUCGAGUGAGAUAGGGGUGUGCGGAACUUCCGGUGGAGCGGUGAAAUGCGUUGAUAUCGGAAGGAACACCGGUGGCGAAGGCGGCACACUGGGUCUCUACUGACGCUGAGGCACGAAAGCUAGGGGAGCGAACGGGAUUAGAUACCCCGGUAGUCUUAGCUGUAAACGAUGAGCACUAGAUGGGAGGAGCUUCGGCUUCUCCGGUCGUAGCGAAAGCGAUAAGUGCUCCGCCUGGGGAGUAUGGUCGCAAGGCUG
RNAcentral lists this ribosomal RNA (375 nucleotides) under uncultured Planctomycetota bacterium. Its description in RNAcentral is "bacterial SSU rRNA". It matches the Rfam family "Bacterial small subunit ribosomal RNA", at positions 521 to 896 of the family's 1533-position model. The record is from RNAcentral. Lineage: Bacteria; Pseudomonadati; Planctomycetota.